AAGUCGUAACAAGGUUUCCGUAGGUGAACCUGCGGAAGGAUCAUUAUUGAAAUAAACCUGAUGGGUUGUUGCUGGUUCUCUAGGGAGCAUGUGCACACCUUGUCAUCUUUAUAUCUCCACCUGUGCACUUUUUGUAGACCUUUCAGGUCUAUGUUGCUUCAUUUACCCCCAAUGUAUGUUAAUAGAAUGUUGUGCCUAUGAUAUAAUAUAUACAACUUUCAGCAACGGAUCUCUUGGCUCUC
This 242-nucleotide unclassified non-coding RNA is filed under the name Cortinarius diasemospermus. RNAcentral's name for it is "partial internal transcribed spacer region". The stretch from base 1 to 46 matches the Rfam family "Eukaryotic small subunit ribosomal RNA", at positions 1786 to 1831 of the family's 1831-position model. Lineage: Eukaryota; Fungi; Basidiomycota; Agaricomycetes; Agaricales; Cortinariaceae. The record is from RNAcentral.